Molecule: long non-coding RNA, 153 nt
Organism: Carcharodon carcharias (great white shark)
Lineage: Eukaryota; Metazoa; Chordata; Chondrichthyes; Lamniformes; Lamnidae
Exons: 3
Source: RefSeq, a predicted model, not a curated record
UCAAACUUGAAAGUGUUUACGAGUAGACAUAGGAAAAGGAUGCGGAUGUCGCCAAGAUAUUGGGCUGGAUUUGAACUUCCUAGAAGAAGUGAGGCACAGGGAUUGAGAAUAUUUCUUCAUAUUCCCUCAGUAAUUGGGACCAGCACAGACUCA